AAUAAGUGUAGUUUUACACUAUUCAUGUUCAACGUUUAACCGUCCGUCUUAUUUGAAAAUUUUUUAUGAUUAGUAUUUUUAUUGCUAUUAGAUGAUAAAACAUGAAUAGUACUUUAUGUGUGACUAAAUGUUUUUAAUUUUUUCACAAAUUUUUCAAAUAAGACGGACGGUCAAACGUUGAACGUGAAUAGUGCAAAACUGUACUUAUU
This is a microRNA precursor of Oryza sativa Japonica Group (Japanese rice), 209 nucleotides long. It matches the Rfam family "MIR812 microRNA precursor family". The record is from Rfam. NCBI's taxonomy places the organism in Eukaryota, Viridiplantae, Streptophyta, Magnoliopsida, Poales, Poaceae.